Magnolia sinica is the source of this 3809-nucleotide RNA transcript. It is a transcript of the gene named cyclin-dependent kinase G-2, with no coding region annotated. NCBI's taxonomy places the organism in Eukaryota, Viridiplantae, Streptophyta, Magnoliopsida, Magnoliales, Magnoliaceae. The transcript is spliced from 10 exons. The record is from RefSeq and is a predicted model, not a curated record.
UCUCUCUCUCUCUCUCUCUAUUUGUCCAUCUCGUCAAUUCCCCUGAGCAAAUUCCUAGGGUUUUCUCUUUCCUCUUUCGCUCUCUCCUCGUUGUGAGAUUUCUAGGGUUUCUCUUUCCUUUUGACGGCGAUUUUUCUAUUGGAAAAAAAGAAAAAAGAAAAAAAAAGAAGAAAAAAGCACGGAGAUUAAAACAAAAAGAGAAUUCUUUGGGAUUUUUUUCUGGGGUUUUGUUUUCCCCAUCAUCAUCAGCUAGAUCUGUUUUUAGGGUUUCGCUUUGAAGCUGUGAGAUUUAUUUAAUUUAAUUUUUUGGUCUUUCUUGAUUGAAAUCGAAGAUUGUGCUUUGAGUCCUGAGUGUUUAGCGUCUUUUCUGGGAUUAGGGUUUUCCUUCUGGGAUUAGGGUUUUGAUUUCUGCAUCUAGGGUUUCUUGAUUUUGGAAUCAGGGUUUCGAUUGGGGGUUUCUGUUGUUUUGGUUGGAUUAGGGUCGCGGAGUAGAUGGCGGCCGGGAGGCAUGGAGGCUUCCGCGACCACGAACCCAUGGACCGGGAAUCGGAUCUCAGGGCCUCAAGACGGAGGGAUUUCUAUAAGGAGGAGUACAGCCGCUUUCGAGAUGGUGCCCAGGAGCGUGGCCGUAACCGUGGAAUAGGUGAUCUUGAGCAGGAAAAGGAUUACCACAGGGAUGAUAGGGUUAGGGUUAGGCAGCGGGAUAUUAAGGAGAGGGAGACCGUGAAUGGUGGGUACCGUUCUUCGUCCAGCAUGAGUGAUUCGGGUAGCAGCGGCAAUAGUCGUAGGCCAGUUGGGUUUUCUGUUAGAAUGGCGGACCGAGAGCCAGGUGAGUUAUCGAGUGGAAGCGAAUCGGAUGACGUGGAAGUCUCAGAACCGCAGGUUAGAGAUAAUGGAAAUUGGAAGUCUGAAAAUGGGGCACUGUCACCACUGGGAAGAAAGAGGAAGUUUUCUCCAAUUGUGUGGGAUAGAGAAGAGAAGCAAGUGAGCAUUUCAUCUAGAAGUAAAACUACUGACUCGGCAGGUGUUCCCCUUCCACCACCUCCGCCACUGCCUCAAGGUUUCCGCCGUUCGCCUUAUCCAAAUCUGAGUGACCUUGUGCAUCCGUCUCCUGUGAAAUCUGACAGCUUUAGCAGCAAGCAGUCAUUGCAUCUGGUCGAGCCUCUGAUGGAACCUGUGUUAGCAGGCUCUGCUGCAUUAGAAUCUCCAUAUGGGUCUUCCCCGGCUCCAUCUCAUGAGGUUCAUUGGAGCAAUAAUCAUGAACCUGGGCAGCUAGAAGAUGAAGACUAUGCUCCAACGCGGAAUAUCUCGGCGUCUCGAUGGGCGGAUGAGAACAAUUCUCCUAAGGAUGAAGGUGAAGUUUCAGAUGAGGAAGCCAUGCUCAAAAGGAGGAAAAAGAUGCCUGUGGGUGAUUUGGUGGACAUGAGACUGAACACCAAGGUGCCAAGUCCGGAGCUCGGAGAACUUAUAAGAGAAGGUUCUGAGGGAGCUCGAGUCAAGCCUGACUCUGAGAAAGAAGGUCGCCGCAUUGUACCAGCCAGUGAAGAUGAAUACCAGGAAAUAGACUUGGAUAAGAACGAUUUCAUGGAGGUUGAUGAGGAAGAUGUGAAUGAUGAUGAUACUGGUGACCAGGCAGAAAUGGAUUCUGAAGAGGAAAAUGAUUCCAUUAAGACACCGGAGCCAACGCCACCCCUCCAAAGAAGCAUAAACAUGUUACAGGGUUGUAGGAGUGUUGAUGAGUUUGAGAGAUUGAACAAGAUAGACGAAGGCACAUACGGCGUGGUUUAUAGAGCCAAGGAUAAAAAGACCGGGGAAAUUGUAGCCUUGAAGAAGGUAAAGAUGGAGAAAGAAAGAGAAGGUUUCCCACUGACAUCUCUAAGAGAAAUUAACAUUCUAUUGUCAUUUUAUCACCCAUCAAUUGUAGAUGUUAAGGAAGUUGUUGUAGGUAGCAGCCUUGAUAGUAUUUUCAUGGUUAUGGAGUACAUGGAACAUGAUCUGAAAGGGCUGAUGGAAACGAUGAAACAGCCUUUUAGCCAGAGUGAAGUUAAGUGCCUAAUGCUACAGCUUUUGGAAGGUGUUAAAUAUCUUCAUGACAACUGGGUGCUUCACAGGGAUUUGAAGACCUCAAAUCUUCUGCUGAAUAAUCGCGGUGAGCUGAAGAUUUGUGACUUUGGAUUAUCUCGCCAAUAUGGGAGCCCUUUGAAGCCUUAUACUCACUUGGUUGUCACUCUAUGGUACAGGGCACCUGAACUUCUAUUGGGAGCAAAGCAAUAUUCAACAGCUAUUGACAUGUGGUCGCUAGGUUGUAUAAUGGCAGAACUUUUAGCGAAGGAACCGUUAUUCAAUGGGAAAACUGAAUUUGAUCAGCUUGACAAGAUAUUCCGAACUCUGGGCACACCAAGCGCAAAGAUAUGGCCGGAGUUUGUUGAAUUGCCUGGGGUCAAGGUCAACUUUGUAAAGCAGCCGUAUAACAAGCUGCGUGAUAAGUUCCCACCCACAUCUUUCUCUGGACGCCCAACCCUUUCUGAGGCUGGAUUUGACUUAUUGAACAAACUGCUUACAUAUGACCCUAAAAAGCGGAUAACAGCAGAAGCUGCUCUUAACCAUGAGUGGUUCCGUGAGGUCCCUCUGCCCAAAUCAAAGGAUUUUAUGCCAACAUUUCCUGCUCAACAUGCUCAAGACAGGCGCCUACGAAGAAUUAUGAAGAGUCCAGAUCCAUUAGAAGAACAGCGGAGGAAAGAGUUGCAACAAGGGGAAUUAGGCACUGGUGGCCUGUUUGGCUAAGUGAGAUGAUUUGGUUUACAGUUUCACUUCAGCUCUGCGGGUCCGGUUUUCACAUGAACCAUUUCUGACUGAAGCCUAUGAGGUGAGAGAUAUGCCUUGCAUGCGAAGUUGGAAACUCUGUUAGUGUGAGACGACAAUUGAUGCUAUUCUUUAGCAGGCACCCCAGACGAUUUUGGGUGGAGAAAGAAACUCUCAUCAUUUCUGCAAUCAAGCCAAUUUUGUUGCAGGAUAUCCUAUCCUCCAGCUUCAGUGAUCAUUAAAUGUGCAUCCUUUACGCAGCUUGCCCCAUAAGAGGCGAUUGGUGUGAAGCGGAGGGACAUUCUUUUCUAUUUGUAGUACCUGAAGAACUGGCGGAAAACUUUCUACAACAAAGUAUCAGAGCAAGCAGGUUGAAGUGGGAGAUGAAAUUUACAUAUCUAUCAUUCAGGGGUUACAAAAUUGCAGUUGUGUCUUUUCACUAAGAUAUAGAGUUAAUUGGUUAUGAACAGGGUGAUGGAGGCAGCGUUAGUCUGCACAUUCAACUUACGGGGCCGGCUGUCCUGCCUGAUAUUUGAGGCGGACGGGAGCUGUUGAAAAAUGCUAAAGGGUUAAAAGAGGAUGUGCAAGCCCCUUGUUGGUUUGUCCUUUAUGGGAAGCUUGUUGUUGUUGAGCCCAUGUACUAAAACAUUUCUUCUGCUCUGCAUCAGCUGUCAUGAGAUAUCUGUCAGGGGACGCAGAGUGCCUAGUGAUCUUGGGGUAGACAUGAUGUCGGGGGGGAUUUGGUUGGGAUACAAGUUGCUGUCAGAGAUGGGGGCCAUGCAAAACAUGUUUGACAUACUCGACUGGGCCCCAUCUCUGAGCAGCAGCACAAGGCCCAAUCAAAUCCCACCACGUUGGGUCACCAGGUAAUCCCCUUCCCCUGUCUGAGUCAGUUGUGUUGUCUCCUUAAUUCUACUGAUGGCCAGAGUAAGUUGUGUAUUUGCUCUCUCUCUCUCUCUCUCUCUCUCUCUCUCUCUCUCUCAAUGAAGAAAUUCUUUCGAAUACAA